GCUGGCGGCACGCCUAAUACAUGCAAGUCGAACGAAGUAGCAAUACUUAGUGGCAGACGGGUGAGUAAUAUGUAGGUAUCUUCCCAUUGGUGAGGAAUAACACGAGGAAACUUGUGCUAAUACCUCAUAAGUCUUUACGGAGAAAGCUUUAUGCGCCGAUGGAUGAGCCUGCACUUGAUUAGUUUGUUGGUAGGGUAAUGGCCUACCAAGACAAUGAUCAAUAGCUGAUUUGAGAGGAUGAUCAGCCACAUUGGGACUGAGACACGGCCCAAACUCCUACGGGAGGCAGCAGUAGGGAAUCUUGCACAAUGGGGGAAACCCUGAUGCAGCGAUGCCGCGUGAGUGAAGAAGGCCUUUGGGUUGUAAAGCUCUUUCGUCGGGGAAGAAAAUGACUGUACCCGAAUAAGAAGGUCCGGCUAACUUCGUGCCAGCAGCCGCGGUAAUACGAAGGGACCUAGCGUAGUUCGGAAUUACUGGGCUUAAAGAGUUCGUAGGUGGUUAAAAAAGUUGGUGGUGAAAUCCCAGAGCUUAACUCUGGAACUGCCAUCAAAACUUUUUAGCUAGAGUAUGAUAGAGGAAAGCAGAAUUUCUAGUGUAGAGGUGAAAUUCGUAGAUAUUAGAAAGAAUACCAAUUGCGAAGGCAGCUUUCUGGAUCAUUACUGACACUGAGGAACGAAAGCAUGGGUAGCGAAGAGGAUUAGAUACCCUCGUAGUCCAUGCCGUAAACGAUGUGUGUUAGACGUUGGAAAUUUAUUUUCUGUGUCGCAGCGAAAGCAAUAAACACACCGCCUGGGGAGUACGACC
This 804-nucleotide ribosomal RNA is filed under the name uncultured Pelagibacteraceae bacterium. RNAcentral describes it as "bacterial SSU rRNA". It matches the Rfam family "Bacterial small subunit ribosomal RNA", at positions 35 to 887 of the family's 1533-position model. Lineage: Bacteria; Pseudomonadati; Pseudomonadota; Alphaproteobacteria; Candidatus Pelagibacterales; Candidatus Pelagibacteraceae. The record is from RNAcentral.